RNAcentral lists this ribosomal RNA (468 nucleotides) under uncultured bacterium. RNAcentral describes it as "partial 16S ribosomal RNA". It matches the Rfam family "Bacterial small subunit ribosomal RNA", at positions 28 to 507 of the family's 1533-position model. The record is from RNAcentral.
GACGAACGCUGGCGGCGUGCUUAACACAUGCAAGUCGAACGGAAAGGCCCUGCUUUUGUGGGGUGCUCGAUUGGCGAACGGGUGAGUAACACGUGAGUAACCUGCCCUUGACUUUGGGAUAACUUCUGGAAACUGGGGCUAAUACCGGAUAGGAGCUCCUGCUGCAUGGUGGGGGUUGGAAAGUUUCGGCGGUUGGGGAUGGUCUCGCGGCUUAUCAGCUUGUUGGUGGGGUAGUGGCUUACCAAGGCUUUGACGGGUAGCCGGCCUGAGAGGGUGACCGGCCACAUGGGGACUGAGAUACGGCCCAGAAUCCUACGGGAGGCAGCAGUGGGGAAUAUUGCACAAUGGGCGGAAGCCUGAUGCAGCAACGCCGCGUGCGGGAUGACGGCCUUCGGGUUGUAAACCGCUUUCGCCUGUGAUGAAGCGUGAGUGACGGUAAUGGGUAAAGAAGCAACGGCUAACUACGUG